CCUUCGGGGCGCACAGGCGCGAAAACUUUACAAUGCGGGAAACCGUGAUAAGGGAACUCUGAGUGCCCGUAAAAUCGGGCUGUCCAUCAGUUUAAAUAACUGGUGAAGAAAGGGCCGGGCAAGACCGGUGCCAGCCGCCGCGGUAAUACCGGCGGCUCGAGUGGUGGCCACUAUUACUGGGCUUAAAGCGUUCGUAGCUGGUUUGUUAAGUCUCUGGGGAAAUCUUCCGGCUUAACCGGAAGGCGUCUCAGGGAUACUGGCAGACUAGGGACCGGGAGAGGUGAGGGGUACUUCAGGGGUAGGAGUGAAAUCCUGUAAUCCUUGAGGGACCACCUGUGGCGAAGGCGCCUCACCAGAACGGCUCCAACAGUGAGGGACGAAAGCUGGGGGAGCAAACCGGAUUAGAUACCCGGGUAGUCCCAGCUGUAAACGAUGCGCGUUAGGUGUAUCGGUGACCACGAGUCACCGAGGUGCCGAAGAGAAAUCGUGAAACGUGCCGCCUGGGAAGUACGGUCGCAAGGCUGAAACUUAAAGGAAUUGGCGGGGGAGCAC
RNAcentral lists this ribosomal RNA (552 nucleotides) under uncultured archaeon. RNAcentral's name for it is "bacterial SSU rRNA". It matches the Rfam family "Archaeal small subunit ribosomal RNA", at positions 322 to 879 of the family's 1478-position model. The record is from RNAcentral.